Molecule: long non-coding RNA, 1231 nt
Organism: Prosopis cineraria
Lineage: Eukaryota; Viridiplantae; Streptophyta; Magnoliopsida; Fabales; Fabaceae
Exons: 2
Source: RefSeq, a predicted model, not a curated record
UAUAAUUAAAAAAAUUUUAUUUUUAUUAAAAAAUUUUAUAUUUUAGGAUGUUGAAUAUCUUCAAAAGUAUUUUAUAAAAUUGAGAUGGAAGGAAUAUAAAAAUUAAAGUAUUUGGGCCAACGCGAUCAUCCCUUGGACCCAACCUAAAUAUAGAUCAGCCCGAUGAACUAGCGAACGACUAAACGGGUCCAACUUGACUCACCAAUGGACCAUAACCCAAAUAUGGAUCAGCCUAAAGCCCUAAACAUAGUAAUUGCCGGGAGAAGAACCUCUCCAUUUUUUCCACUCUAUUUCCUUCCGCACCAUUUAAACUAGGAGAAAAAACUCCUAAAGAAUUCACUAUUUUUGAAAACUUCUGCUUUUAGUUCUCUUUCCUCACUAUUUUCUUCCACUUUUCUCUCCGUCCAAACCAAUUGAGUAUAUCAUGAAGGAAUGAUUUUCCCUGUAACAUUUGGUCGGCAUUGCUUUGAUAGUUCAGGUUUGGUACACGUGUUCACCAGUGACCAAAGGCAGGAAGAGCGAAAAGGAAAACAUGGAACUGCAAGAUUGCAAUACCUUCAGAAACAAGAGAGACAGUUGUGGCAAACUUGGCAAACUUUGCCUGUGAUCCUUAUAACUAUCACUUCUUGUGUCAGGUUGGAAUUUUCAAUUUUUCUAUGGAAAAUGACCAUAAGAUGAGCUAAAAUUCCUGGUAUACAGUUAUCAGCUUUGCAAACCACUAUUUAUGUGAUUUAUGAACAGCUCAGUGUUUUAGAACUUUUCUUGGAUUGCAUGACAGAAUCCAAUGAGAGGCUUGUGGAAUUUGGUGUUGGAGGGAUCUGCAAUUCUUGUGCUGGCAAGUCCAGAAGUUUCUCCCUUGGUGAUGAUAUAUAUGCAUCUCUGCUUUAUUGAUCAUAUUGACAAAAAUCAGUGGCAAUUCCUUUCACAUCCAGCCAAUGCAGCAAUUGUAAUCAGUCCGGUGGUAUCCCUCUUAUCAUUCAAUGUCUAUCAAGCCCUGCUAGGAACACUAUAAGGAUGAGAUCUUACUAUCGAGGUUGUUUCACUUCAAUGAGUUGUAAUGUAUUCGCCUUUUUUUGGUGACGAAUAUAUUUGCCUUUGAAAUUCAACCUGCUGAUUUUGUAGAGCCAGACCGGAUGGUAACCUAUGGCUAUUCAGAUUCUUGGAUUUCUUUUGGACAUUUUUUUUGGCUCACGUGGAAGUAGUAUAAUAUGAGGACAAUGGAUUUUUGCUA